GCAACCCACAUCCUUAGUUGCCAGCAGUUCGGCUGGGCACUCUAAGGAAACUGCCCGUGAUAAGCGGGAGGAAGGUGUGGAUGACGUCAAGUCCUCAUGGCCCUUACGGGUUGGGCUACACACGUGCUACAAUGGCAGUGACAAUGGGUUAAUCCCAAAAAACUGUCUCAGUUCGGAUUGUCGUCUGCAACUCGGCGGCAUGAAGUCGGAAUCGCUAGUAAUCGCGUACCAGCAUGACGCGGUGAAUACGUUCCCGGGCCUUGUACACACCGCCCGU
RNAcentral lists this ribosomal RNA (277 nucleotides) under uncultured bacterium. RNAcentral describes it as "partial 16S ribosomal RNA". It matches the Rfam family "Bacterial small subunit ribosomal RNA", at positions 1098 to 1397 of the family's 1533-position model. The record is from RNAcentral.